CCAUAGAAGUCAUCCCACAGUGCC
This 24-nucleotide microRNA is filed under the name Rattus norvegicus (Norway rat). RNAcentral describes it as "rno-miR-3558-5p". Lineage: Eukaryota; Metazoa; Chordata; Mammalia; Rodentia; Muridae. The record is from miRBase by way of RNAcentral.